Molecule: long non-coding RNA, 1793 nt
Filed under: Monodelphis domestica (gray short-tailed opossum)
Lineage: Eukaryota; Metazoa; Chordata; Mammalia; Didelphimorphia; Didelphidae
Description: lncRNA (ENSMODG00000036806.1)
Source: RNAcentral
CUCAUGCUUCCAACCCCACACAAUCAACUCUAAGUUCACACCCUAAGUUCAUACUUCUGAUCUUAAUCCCUCUACUUCAUACCUUACUGAUUCCUCCAAUCCAAACACCUCUGUAUCCUUUCACACUUCUUCCUUGGCUCCUCCUUCUCAUCCUACACAAUCCACUUUAAGUUCAUAUUCCAACCUAAAUUCACACCCUACCUCUGAAUUUUCUGGCACCAUGGGACAACAACAAACCCUUCCUUUUAAUGUGCCCAACUCUUCUAUUUCUCAGACUUACCCAAUUGAAAAUGGAGCAAGAAGCCUAGAAACAGGAGUACCAAAUAAUUCAGAUAGCUUAUUUCCUUUAAGGGAAGUACCCACUUUUAAUAAAAAUGGAAACUUGGUAUCUGUAAGACAUCAUACACCUUUUACCCCUGAGGAUUUAAAAAAAUUGAAGGAAGAUAUGCCAUCAUUUGAGGAUGAACCAAUAUUAAUUAUAAAAAAAUUAGAGAACAUAUUCAGAACUUUUGACCCCACUUGGUUGGAUGUUGAGAAUAUAUUAGAAGCAUUAUUAACAAAGAGAGAGAAAAAUAAUAUCGUCUCUCUGGCUAAUCAAAAACGAGGUAGAAGAGGACAUUAUUGGCCAACUGAAGAUCCACAUUGGAACCCCGAUGUUGAACUAGAUUACACAAAACUAAACCAGGCCAGAGAAGCAUUAUUGACAGCCAUGAGAGCUUUCUCUGAUAGACCUGAAAAAUGGUCAAAAUUUGAAAAAACCCGACAAUAUAUUGAUGAAACACCCUCCCAGUUUAUGGACAGACUUAUUGACGUAGGGAAUACAUAUAUGGACCUUGAUUUAUCUAGAGAAAGAGACAUUAGACAAAUACGUAGGCAAUUUGCUAAGAAUUGUUGUUCAGUGGUAAAAGACUACUUUAGAACUAGCUGUCCUAAUUGGGACUCUAUGGACCUCGAUGAACUAAGGAGAGUAGCAACCUAUGUUUAUAAAGGUCAUGUAAAAAGACUUGAGGAAGAAGAAACAUCAGUGGAAGAUUUAAAGAAAGAAAUUGAAAUGUUAAGGAGACAAUUGAAAAAUAAGGGAGAGACUAUAGCCCCUUUGCAGGAAUUCACAAAUAAAUCAGUAACUUGCCACUUCUGUGAGAAGAAGGGCCACAAAAUGAUGGAAUGUAGAACCUUUCUUAAGAUGAUUGGAAGAAAUACACAGUUUAAUAAUAGCUUUAGAAAUAACAACUAUAGAAAUGAUGAUAAUGGUCAUAGAAACCAGAACAACUAUAAUGAUGAUAAUGGUCAUAGAAACCAGAAUUCUAGAAAUUUUAGAAAUUAUAAUGAUGAUUAUGGAAAUAACUAUAAUGAACAUAGAAAUAAGAACUUUAGAAACCAGAAUUAUAGAAAUAGGAACUGGGGAAAUAAUGACAAUGCUCCAAAUGAAGAAAAUUAUAUUGAUAAUGCCCAACAACAAAAUAUGAGAAAUGGAGCUCGUCCAAAACAUAGUCAAGGUGCCCUUCAGGGGGGUGCCCAAGGAAUAUCCCAAAUACAAUGAUGGAGUCUGGGGGGGGGGGCUGGGGCACAGGAAUCAGAGGAUACAACCUUUGAUUUUCCAGACCCUGAUGUCCUACUACCCUUUGUCCCUAUCCACUGCCCUCCCCAUACUAAUGAACCCCAUGUUACCUUAAAGGUGGGUAACACUUAUUAUGAUUGUCUAUUAGACACUGGAGCUACCAGGUCUGUAUUGAAGAAUGUACCAGAUUUAAAUUGUUAUUCUGUUGAUUCACAAAGUGUAAUGGGGGUAUCAG